This 277-nucleotide long non-coding RNA is filed under the name Lathyrus oleraceus (garden pea). Its description in RNAcentral is "Pisum sativum (pea) long non-coding RNA (PSAT_LNC009917)". Lineage: Eukaryota; Viridiplantae; Streptophyta; Magnoliopsida; Fabales; Fabaceae. The record is from RNAcentral.
UUACUAAUGCGCAUAACAAACCAAUGCUUAAGCCUCCGCCGAGAGUAGACAAGCCAGCGUUUAGCCUUUAGGAUGCGAUCUAAGCAGUUGUUCACUAAAGGACACCAACCAACUGUAGUUCUCCGAACUACGAAUGCUCUGACUUCCUUAUUAUACCAUAAGGAUACGUAGGCAGGAGAUUGAUGUAUCUUCGCGAGCACACUAAUAAAAAAACCUCCUCUUCUCCUUUCUGAGGUUCUCAUCCAUUUCUAUAUUUUAUAACCCAAAGAUAACAAAC